RNAcentral lists this transfer RNA (72 nucleotides) under Dipodomys ordii (Ord's kangaroo rat). It matches the Rfam family "tRNA". From Rfam's summary of the family: Transfer RNA (tRNA) molecules are approximately 80 nucleotides in length. Their secondary structure includes four short double-helical elements and three loops (D, anti-codon, and T loops). Further hydrogen bonds mediate the characteristic L-shaped molecular structure. tRNAs have two regions of fundamental functional importance: the anti-codon, which is responsible for specific mRNA codon recognition, and the 3' end, to which the tRNAs corresponding amino acid is attached (by aminoacyl-tRNA synthetases). tRNAs cope with the degeneracy of the genetic code in two manners: having more than one tRNA (with a specific anti-codon) for a particular amino acid; and 'wobble' base-pairing, i.e. permitting non-standard base-pairing at the 3rd anti-codon position. The record is from Rfam by way of RNAcentral. Lineage: Eukaryota; Metazoa; Chordata; Mammalia; Rodentia; Heteromyidae.
GGGAAGGUGGCUCAGUGGUAGAGUACUUGCCUUGCAUGCAUGAGGCCCUGAGUUCGAUUCCUCAGCACCCCA